Long non-coding RNA from Amphiprion ocellaris (clown anemonefish), 1517 nucleotides. Lineage: Eukaryota; Metazoa; Chordata; Actinopteri; Pomacentridae. The record is from Ensembl.
CAUUUGCUUUGCUUCAUCAGUUCGAUGGCGUCAUUGACUUGGUCCAAAGUCAUGUUGUGAGUGAUGAACUCGUCCAACUUCACCUUCUUAUCCAUGAAGGCUUUAACCAUCUGUGGCACGCCAUCCUUACUCUUAAAUCCUGAAAUAAGAACAGAGUGUCUCCUCCAGAAGCCAUAAGAAAGCAGUGGCACAUAUGCUUUUUAACACAGAUUCAUCAGUCGGUGGAAAAGAUUUUAUUUGUCUCACCUCCAAACAGGGAUCCCUUCCAUGUACGUCCAGCAAUGAGCUGAAUGGGACGAGCAGCAAUGUCUUGCAUACUUGUCACGCCAACAAUCACGGAAACACCCCAACCUUUGACACAAGACUCCAAAGCACUGCGCUGGAUGGAGAAACAGCACAAAGUCAGUGGACUUGUAACCAGUUUGGUACUGGUCCAAAACUAGUGAAAGACAAGCUGAGACAAUGUUGACUGGGUAAUAUGAUGAAUCACUUAGCUUUUAAAUAACUACUGCAACGAGCAAAUAAAUGUUGUUUACUCUGAUCAUAAUAAAGGUUACAUUACAAACAUGUCCAAAAUUAGUGAUACCUUUCCACUGAAUGUCAUUGCCAGUAAUUGGUAUUCACCAUUUUCCAAUACAUAUUUACUAUAAAGGACACUUUGGUUUUACUUUUCAUUUACCAUUGUUAUGAAUUGAUAUGUUUUUUUUUCUUGAACAAAAACCAGGUCACAGCUCACUCUGUUCAUCAGGUAGAUCAGCUGCACCUGUGUGAAGUAGAGCUCAGCUGUGAGCUGUUGGCAAUCAGCCCUGCUGGGAGACUAUAUGAGAGGUUUUUGACUCUCAUCUUAGGUGGUGAGGGUGGUUCAGAAGGUUCUGCACCAUCAGUGGACUAGUUUUGGCAAUACUGAGUUGGAGAAUCUGAAUGUGAGAAUCAAGUUAUUUUUUGCUUUUCUUUUUUUCAGAUAACCCCUAACAAAACUAGUGACUCCCACAUAAAUUGUGUUUUGGGUCAUAAAUUUUACUUGUUCUAUCCUUUUGAUAAGAUUCAGUGUACAGUAAUUGGCACAAAUCUCAAUAUCACCUUUUAGAAAAAUGAAGACCCAUUUUUAUUUUCAAACCUAUUUUGAGUGCAGUUUUUGUUAGUUUCCCCAUUUACAACCUUAGAUAUUUUUUGCUGUGUUCUGGGGGGAGGAAACGUAAUACCGUCCAUCAGCUAUAUCUGAAUAUUGUGCACAUUAUAGUCAUUCUGCCUCACCAUGACUCCCACAUUUCCAGCGCAUUCAAAGGAGUAGUCCACUCCUCCAUCGGUCAUCUCAAUCAGCACCUCAUGGAUGGGUUUAUCGUGAUCUUUGGGGUUGAUGAAGUCAGUAGCACCAAACACCUUGGCCUUCUCAAACUUCUCCGGAUUGAUGUCAACAGCUAUAAUUCUCUUUGCUCCUGCAGCAAAACAGCCCAUGACUGCAGCCAAACCCACAGCUCCCAGACCGAACACAGCACAUGUAGAUCCUGGUUCAACCU